UACGAAGGGUGCAAGCGUUGCUCGGAAUUAUUGGGCGUAAAGCGCACGUAGGCGGCUUAGCAAGUUGGAUGUGAAAGCCCUCGGCUUAACCAAGGAAGUGCAUCCAAAACUGCUGAGCUUGAGUAGUUAAGAGGAUCGCGGAAUUCCCGGUGUAGAGGUGAAAUUCGUAGAUAUCGGGAGGAACACCAGUGGCGAAGGCGGCGAUCUGGGAACAUACUGACGCUGAGGUGCGAAAGCGUGGGGAGCAAACAGG
This 253-nucleotide ribosomal RNA is filed under the name uncultured bacterium. RNAcentral's name for it is "partial 16S ribosomal RNA". It matches the Rfam family "Bacterial small subunit ribosomal RNA", at positions 524 to 776 of the family's 1533-position model. The record is from RNAcentral.